UAAAGAUUUCAUAUUCCAAUACAUUGUUAGUCUCUCUAAGUGUUGGCAUUUCAAGAUAGAGAUACUAAUUAAGUCAGUUGGCUUACUAACUAUUACACAUAGCAAACAAUAUGCAUAGUAAUAAUAGGUUUGAAACAGCAGAGAAAAUAAUAACAAAAAAGAAGAUUAGUAAGUUACAAAUUUAAUUAAUUAAAUGGAAAAAAAUUAAAAUACACCUAAAAAUUUUAAAUUAGGGGCCAUACAUAUAAGAAGAAUAUGAGUAGAGUGAACACAACAUA
RNAcentral lists this unclassified non-coding RNA (278 nucleotides) under Hevea brasiliensis (rubber tree). The record is from RNAcentral. Lineage: Eukaryota; Viridiplantae; Streptophyta; Magnoliopsida; Malpighiales; Euphorbiaceae.